CUAGGGGAGGAGAGGGGAGGAGAGGUGGUGGUCAACGUCGGAGGUGUUCGGUUGGGAGAGGGGAGGAGACGAGAGGUGGUGGUCGGCGUCGGAGGUGUUCGGUUGGGGGAGGGGCGGUGCUGGAUUGGGGGAGGGCCAGAGAGGUGGUAGUCGACGUCGGAGGUGCCCUUGAGAAGUGGCUGUAUCUGCCCCAUAGAGCUGCGGAGCACCUACACUUACACUGGCACCUUCCGACGAGGAUGUCAGCCGGUGUCGAAGGUGGGACACUCCUGUGACUCGUCCGUCACGCAUAACUCCGGGGUGGUAGCGGUUUGGUGAAAGGUGGACAAAGCCGUAACUACGGUUCUCCUAAUGAUUAAUUCAUAAAAGACUCCCAACUACGACCACCUGAGAAGGUGUGUAUAGGAGUAGCUCCACCAGGCAAAUUCUCGAAUGUUCUUCGAGUCCUACGAUAUAUGAGGAUAGUGUAAUUAGACACAUUUAAGUUCAUGAACCCACCCGAAAGGUUUCUCCUGUCCAUACAAACCGUAUGUGAUAUAACCGCAUUACCGUGUUCCUUCUUGAGCUUUCUUCGAAACCUACAUUACUACUUGAUAUUGGGGUGAGCCCUUCAUCAAUUUCGAAAUGACCUGUUCGUGUUACUCCUGGUAGAAAACCUCCUAGAACGUAUACUUUAGUUCUUUCAACACUCAAUGUUUCGAGUGAAGGGUUCUUUUCCAAGAGUCGUACUUACGUCCAGGAAGAGUGUAAAUUUACACGAACAUCUUUCUCCUGGAUUACGGUAGCUUCUAGAAGAGAAGUAACUUUACUGGACGUGUUGUCUACCACUUAAACUCCUUAUGUGCGAAUCAACGUAAACACACCAAAGUAGGCUUCUACUACCACUCACGACACUUACGCCACUACUACACUUCGUAGGGUGACCACGCCUCAUGUUUUUCACACUUCGGUUCGGGGUACAAGCCACGUCCUUCGGAUAUAGUCUUCUUCUUAAAUUACUCAAAUAACAACACGCGCUACUUCUAACCGACCUCUGCCUUCUCCGACGCCACUCCACCGUUAAGUCCUACGCGUUGCGUCGUCUACCGGUACCUCGCUCCCCGUUUAUGUAGCAUGGCCGUUUUGCACACGUCCGUAUCUACAUCUCAGCUACCCCGGAUCACGAACGAAACGACAUACGGUAAGAACACGACGCAAGCAAAAACCAUGGACACUACGACUCAGUCAUGAUACACAGAACUCACAAACCGAACGACUACAUCUUCGGAGCAGACCCACCUCCUAUUCGACCACACUUCUAGGACACGUCUUGGGCACAAAUACCACAUCCACUUGGGUUCAAAACGCCCUCAUUCGACCGUUUUGCUUUCACUGGUACACGAAACAACCACUAAAACAAACCAUUUCGUUACACGAGAACGUCACCUACCAUGGAUGAAUGUCCAUCGAAAAGUACGGACUCUCAGAGUUCUGGACAAAACAACAGUGUCACUUCAUUAGUGCCUUUACUAACUCUUUACUCUCAUGUAGGCACUGCUCUCUUGAAAACAGUUUAACACAUGAGUUUGGAUUGAUAUCAAAUAAAUGUUGUGACAUGAAACAUAGAAUCGUUAGAUUGAAAUUCAUGUAUUGUUGAGUUUGGGUUGAUAUUAAAUAAGUGUUGUGACAUGAAACAUAGAUAGAAUCGUUAACUGGACUUCAUGUUUGGGUUCAUUUAAGGACGGGUGGGG
RNAcentral lists this ribosomal RNA (1730 nucleotides) under Triticum aestivum (bread wheat). RNAcentral's name for it is "partial small subunit ribosomal RNA". The record is from RNAcentral. Lineage: Eukaryota; Viridiplantae; Streptophyta; Magnoliopsida; Poales; Poaceae.